UCUGAGUCCAUGAUAUAUUAAA
This 22-nucleotide microRNA is filed under the name Glycine max (soybean). RNAcentral's name for it is "gma-miR5780b". The record is from miRBase by way of RNAcentral. Lineage: Eukaryota; Viridiplantae; Streptophyta; Magnoliopsida; Fabales; Fabaceae.